This 433-nucleotide ribosomal RNA is filed under the name uncultured bacterium. Its description in RNAcentral is "partial 16S ribosomal RNA". It matches the Rfam family "Bacterial small subunit ribosomal RNA", at positions 29 to 507 of the family's 1533-position model. The record is from RNAcentral.
AACGAACGCUGGCGGCAUGCCUAACACAUGCAAGUCGAACGAGACCUUCGGGUCUAGUGGCGCACGGGUGCGUACCGCGUGGGAACCUACCCUUAGGUUCGGUAUCACUGACUGUAAGGGGUGUUAAUAACGGUUAAUGUCUUCGGGCCUAAGAUUUAUCGCCUUUGGAUGGGCCCGCGUUGGAUUAGCUAGUUGGUAGGGUAAAAGCCUACCAAGGCGACGAUCCAUAGCUGGUCUGUGAGGAUGAUCAGCCACACUGGGACUGAGACACGGCCCAGACUCCGACGGAAGGGAGCAGUGGGGAAUAUUGGACGAGGAGCGAAAGCCUGAUCCAGCAAUGCCGCGGAAGUGAGGAAGGCCGUAGGGAUGUAAAUCUCUCUUACCCGGAGUGAUAAUGACAGUACCGGGAGAAGAAGCACCGGCUAACUACGUG